Passer domesticus (house sparrow) is the source of this 573-nucleotide long non-coding RNA. RefSeq lists it as uncharacterized. The transcript has 3 exons. NCBI's taxonomy places the organism in Eukaryota, Metazoa, Chordata, Aves, Passeriformes, Passeridae. The record is from RefSeq and is a predicted model, not a curated record.
UGGAGAAGGUCACUUCCAGGGCUUCCCCUGAAUUGCAGAAAUGGACUGUGCAGGCAAUCAUUCCCAAGAAGGGAAGGAUUUUCCCCCCUACAAACUAACAGGGGGAAAGUGAAGAGGGGGGAGGAUAUUCUUUGUUGGCAGAACUUACCAAGUUUCAAGCAACAAAAAGAUAAUGAAUGAUGUGUUCAAAACAGGUCAGGUUCUGAAGUUUAACUGGAGCAGCAAAAGGAAAAGCAGAAAAGUGGGGAAUGCACAAAGGACUGCAGAAAUCCUGAAAGCACAACAACUUGCAUUCCUCCACUCCCUGUCGUCUCUCCCCUCAAGGUGAGCAUUUUCAUGGAGCACAGUGCAGCAGCAGUGAUGUAACUUUGUGCUCCAGGGAUCACAGCUGCUGUCUGAUACUUUCAGCUCAGAGGAGCUGGGUUCCCAACACCCUGCAGGGAAAACCAAUGGUGCUUUCUUCCAACUUACCCUCCUCCUAGACUCUUCAAUGGCAGACAGCAAUGCAUUAUCUUUUUCAUUCUUCAGGAAACCCUGCAGAAAAGGAGAAACAGAACUUCAGCCAAAAAAAUC